GUCACAUGUUUAGUAUUGACAGUAGAUACUCUGUAUAAAAUCAAUAAAGGUUGUGUCUACUUUUGACUCUACUGUAUUACUGUGAGAGCUUUUAUUUUGACUCAAAAAAACCGUUUAUAAGGUGAAAAGAUACAGAAAAUUCAGCAAGUGGCAGAAGUGACUUUCGAUGAUAAUGCAAACAACCAAGAGGGACCUUCGGAGCAGAGAACAGAAGCGAUUCUCGAGACGGAGAGUAACAAUGAAUUCAACGUCAAAUAUGUCGAAAAGGAUCCAAUGAUUUUGGGGUCACUGUUAACAUCAAAUUUCGUUGAAGGAGAUUGCUUACGAGUUGAUGACUUAUCACCUGACGUUAGUGAAGAUAGCAAUGAUUUGCAUCAGGCUCCAUGUUUGUCCGAGGAAGAUAGUGGUGACAGUUUACGCGUUGAAGAAGAUGCUGAUAAUACACACCGAGUUGAGGAGUGCGAUGUUGAAUUCGAGAAUGAUUUUGUAGUUGUUGACCAGGCGAUGGGUGAGCGGAUCCUCAAGUCGCUUGUUGAACCAGGAAGGGGGGAAUUGAACGACGACUAUAAAGAUAUUAUGCGGUUGGUUAAGGCUGAAAAACCCCACUCAAGUACAUGUACAAGAUCAUUAUUGAUCCUCUAAGCGGCUGUAAUACUAGCAAGGAGCUAGAGUUGAUUGACCGAUUGUGUGAUGUUGAUAUCAAAGUAAGUUCCGACGUGCUGUCUUCUCCAGCCAUAUUGUGUGGAGGGGGAGGGCUCAGUGCCGAUGAUGAAACGACUUCGUCCAAUGCAUCGGAAGAGAAAGGCUCCAAAAAAGUGGCAAUCGCCCACUCUGCAUCUGCUGUGGCCAGUAACGAGGUCAUUGGGGAUCCUGUCCUACAGAAAUGUCGGGUUAAAACUCCACGCUGCACCCGUCCAAAACGCACUGACAAAUGCCCAAAGCAAUGGCAGGAUUACCUCUGGUUCUCUGAUGAUAAGGAAAGUUUGCCUCCAUACAUCUCUGUGUUCCCCUCCUAUUGUGGCUCCCCUGUGCAAGUGUCGUCUGGUCCACCACUGUCUGUCAUUGAAUGUAACCCAGGUUUGCCUCCUGAGGGUGCUUUGGCUUGCUUCCCUCCUCCCAUGAAGUAUUCGGUAGAGUAUUGUGAGAGGGUGGUGUGCUAGCUACCUGUACAUUGUAGUGAGAACAAAACGUUUGACAUUUUGUACAUAGACACUUUGUACAUAGAUUUUUGUACUGAUAAUUAUAACUAAUGAUGUGGCUGUGCACUUGUAUUAUAGCUUAUCUGUGUUUUUUGUACUGUUUACUAGAACUCAAUUAACUAUUACCAAUGUUUUCCUGUUCAAUUAGAUUACGACUAUACCUCUGCUAUAGUUAGUUUACUAUUAUAGGAUACGUCCUCAUACUGUGUAGUAAUCUUAGGUCAUAUGACUUAAAUAAUUGCAAGGUGUAUAAAAGAUUCACUGUAGUAUCUCAAUUCUCUUUUUAUCCUUUUUUCUGUUGACUUUACUGUUCACAGAUUAGUUUCACUUACUAGAGUAUGCUUUCUACUAGCUCCCCCAGUUUAUGCUUACUGAAAGAAUUGUCCUUUUGGAUUAUAUUCCUCAAGUUGCUCGGCUAGUGCUACGUACAUAGUUAAGUUGUAGAGAAAAAGUUGCCCUAUAAUUAAUAGAAAGUAGGUAAAGCUUACGUUAAUUAAGAGAGUUGGUAUGUGUGAAGAAGUUACCGCAGCAUUUCCCAGACGUCACGCCAUCUCCCCAUCAAAUGAUGAAUCCGAGAAUGACACAGCUCACGAGGAGGUAUCACAACCACCUACACGAUAUCAAGAGCGAUAUCAAGGGCAUACACAAUUUCAAGAAACCG
Molecule: RNA transcript, 1860 nt
Organism: Halichondria panicea
Lineage: Eukaryota; Metazoa; Porifera; Demospongiae; Suberitida; Halichondriidae
Exons: 5
Source: RefSeq, a predicted model, not a curated record